This 254-nucleotide ribosomal RNA is filed under the name uncultured bacterium. Its description in RNAcentral is "partial 16S ribosomal RNA". It matches the Rfam family "Bacterial small subunit ribosomal RNA", at positions 524 to 776 of the family's 1533-position model. The record is from RNAcentral.
UACGUAGGGUGCGAGCGUUAAUCGGAAUUACUGGGCGUAAAGCGUGCGCAGGCGGUGAUGUAAGACAGAUGUGAAAUCCCCGGGCUCAACCUGGGAACUGCAUUCAAAACUGACGAGCUAGAGUAUGGUAGAGGGUGGUGGAAUUUCCUGUGUAGCGGUGAAAUGCGCAGAUAUCAGGAGGAACACCGAUGGCGAAGGCAGGUCUCUGGGCAUUAAACUGACGCUGAGGAGCGAAAGCAUGGGGAGCGAACAGG